GACAACUGUUGUGCUCAGGAUCCCGCCGGGCCAACUGUUCCUUUGUUGAUAUCCAUGUCUGUAUCACCAUGCAUAACCAAAAGACUGUCUCUCUCUCUCAGACCAUCACCCUGCUGCUUUUAUGGUGUGGAAAAUAAAGAACUUACUUGGUAUUUCAGAAUGGUCACUUUGGACACUGAGGAAUCACAAUGUCCUGAAACGGGUCAAGGACAGGAUUCUUCAGUUUCCCUUGGCAGUGCCUCAGCCUUUGUCAGGCUGCUGACAGGAGACUGGAGAGCAGCAGUAGGAGCAUGGACUUCUCAUUGAGAGGCCAAGGCAAAACUCUGCCAUGCAUAGUUGUAAGACCAACCUUGACUCCAGAGGAAGACCCUGUCCUACAAAGCAAAAAAUAGUAAAUGAAAUUGUUCUUUUUUGUUGAAAGAGAAAUGUUAAAGCCCAUGUUUAGGCUAUAGAAUAAAGCACAGCUUUGUUUUUGGUUUUGA
This is a long non-coding RNA of Arvicanthis niloticus (Nile rat), 482 nucleotides long. RefSeq lists it as uncharacterized. The record is from RefSeq and is a predicted model, not a curated record. NCBI's taxonomy places the organism in Eukaryota, Metazoa, Chordata, Mammalia, Rodentia, Muridae.